Molecule: ribosomal RNA, 320 nt
Filed under: uncultured bacterium
Lineage: Bacteria
Description: bacterial SSU rRNA
Rfam family: Bacterial small subunit ribosomal RNA
Source: RNAcentral
CCGCAAAGGAGCGGAACCCUUUUCCUUUUAGUUGCCCAGCAACUUAAUUGUUGGGAAUUUUAAGGAGACCCCCGUUGACAAAACCGGAGGAAGUUGGGGAUGACGUCAAGUCAUCAUGGCCCUUACGGCCAGGGCUACACACGUACUACAAUGGUAGGGACAGAGGGCUGCAAGCCGGCGACGGUAAGCCAAUCCCAGAAACCCUAUCUCAGUCCGGAUUGGAGUCUGCAACUCGACUCCAUGAAGUCGGAAUCGCUUAGUAAUCGCAGAUCAGCAUUGCUGCGGUGAAUACGUUCCCGGGCCUUGUACACACCGCCCGU